This 484-nucleotide ribosomal RNA is filed under the name uncultured bacterium. RNAcentral's name for it is "partial 16S ribosomal RNA". It matches the Rfam family "Bacterial small subunit ribosomal RNA", at positions 30 to 507 of the family's 1533-position model. The record is from RNAcentral.
AUUGAACGCUGGCGGCAGGCCUAACACAUGCAAGUCGAGCGGAUGAAGGGAGCUUGCUCCUGGAUUCGGCGGCGGACGGGUGAGUAAUGCCUAGGAAUCUGCCUGGUUGUUGUGGGUAACGUCCGGAAACGGGCGCUAAUACCGCAUACGUCCUGAGGGAGUAAGUGGGGGAUCUUCGGACCUUACGCUAUCAGAUGAGCCUAGGUCGGAUUAGCUAGUUGGUGGGGUAAAGGCCUACCAAGGCGACGAUCCGUAACUGGUCUGAGAGGAUGAUCAGUCACACUGGAACUGAGACACGGUCCAGACUCCUACGGGAGGCAGCAGUGGGGAAUAUUGGACAAUGGGCGAAAGCCUGAUCCAGCCAUGCCGCGUGUGUGAAGAAGGUCUUCGGAUUGUAAAGCACUUUAAGUUGGGAGGAAGGGCAGUAAGUUAAUACCUUGCUGUUUUGACGUUACCAACAGAAUAAGCACCGGCUAACUUCGUG